This 252-nucleotide ribosomal RNA is filed under the name uncultured bacterium. RNAcentral's name for it is "partial 16S ribosomal RNA". It matches the Rfam family "Bacterial small subunit ribosomal RNA", at positions 525 to 776 of the family's 1533-position model. The record is from RNAcentral.
ACGGAGGGUCCAAGCGUUAUCCGGAUUUAUUGGGUUUAAAGGGUGCGUAGGCGGAAAUUUAAGUCAGUGGUGAAAUCCUACAGCUCAACUGUAGAACUGCCAUUGAAACUGGAUUUCUUGAAUAUAGUUGAAGUAGGCGGAAUAUGUAGUGUAGCGGUGAAAUGCUUAGAUAUUACAUAGAACACCGAUUGCGAAGGCAGCUUGCUAAACUAUUAUUGACGCUGAGGCACGAAAGCAUGGGGAGCGAACAGG